Molecule: long non-coding RNA, 3028 nt
Organism: Mesocricetus auratus (golden hamster)
Lineage: Eukaryota; Metazoa; Chordata; Mammalia; Rodentia; Cricetidae
Exons: 2
Source: RefSeq, a predicted model, not a curated record
AAAAAAAGAAAGAAAAAAAGAAAAAAAAAAGAAAAAGAAAAAGAAAAGUUAAGUCUAUUAGAAUGUAGUCACAUAAGCAGUACUGUAAUUCCAGCACCAGGGAUGCAGAGGUAGGAGGAGUUAGGGUUUCCACAGCUACAUAGCAAGUUGAAGGCCAGUCUAUGCUAUAUGAUACCCUGUCUUGAAAUACCAAAAAUAAAAACUAAGGAUCUGGGUAUAGUGAUACUCACCUGUAAUCUCAGAAUUUGGGAAGUUCAAGAUUAUCCUGGGAUACAUAGUGGUUUUUUGUUUUUUGUUUGUUUGUUUGUUUGUUUAUUUUGUGACUGGACUGAGCAACAUGAAAUACUGUCUGAAAAAGAUCUAAGUUGACUCAGUGCUUAAGACUGAAUACUGCUUUUGCAGCAUAAAGUUCAGUUCACAGCACCCACAUGGGAUGCUCAUAACUGCCUGCAACUCCAGCUUCAUAGACUAGAAUUAAAAAAAAUAAAGCUUUAAAAACAUCCAAUAAGACAAAAACAACAACCCCUCCAAAAGUAUAAUCUUCUUAUAUGAACAAGAAGAUUAAGGAUAAGAGGAUGCUAUUUAUAGUGGUAAUUUAGUGUGAUUUCAUCCUCUGUAUUAGACAGAAGCUGGGCACAUGUGUGACAGACCACAGCAUGUUUAUGUCUGUAUUGGUGAAUCCUGAUGAUGCUCCGGUUAAAUGACUAAAGUGUUCCAUAUAAAUUAUAAAAUUCUUAUACAUUGUAUUUCUUGAGCCACUGUGGACUAUUCUCUGCCUUGUUUAGAUACCUCAUGAUGGAAUCAGGAGCCUUGCUUUUGAAAGUCUGUAGUUCCUGCUAGUCUUGUCAAGUCUUGUCAAGCUAACAUAGAUAACCUCUGCCCCUGUUUGAUCUUCGCAUUUGUAAUGGAUAAAUAAUUGAUCAGCAUAAGGAUUCUGGCAAUAUAUUUAGCUUCUGCUCAGCACUAUCCUAUUUUUAAAUGUCCUCAGGCAUUGACUCAGAAUGUUCAUCCAAAGGCUGUCAGCUGUAAACGGAGACUGUGAGAAGUGACAGGUCUGCUUUAGGAUUACGUGGCAUGAAACGCCAUGACAGCUGUCAGUUUCACUGCUGCCUAAAGAACUGGUCUGUCUGCCUUGUGCUUUAUUAAAUUCCUAUAAACACGUCUCUCAUAGAACCAGGAUCUUUUUGAAGGCAGAAUCUUUCCAAUCCCAACAGAAUCCAACUAGAAACAGAAACUUCAAAAAUAAGUCAAAGAAAAAAUAUAAUUAAGGUGUUUAUAUUUUUGUUGUGGGGCACCAGAGUUCAAAUCCUCAGGACCCACAUAAAGCCAGAGGUGGUAGUGCCCACUUGUAAUCCUAUAGGAAGAUGGGAGCCCGAGACAGAAGAAUCCCCAGUGGCCACGGUGCACACAAUAGUGAAUAACAAAAGAGAUCCUGUCUCAAACCAAUGUGGACAGUGAAGACCAACACCAGAGGUUGCUCGUUGACUGACCUCCACAUGUGCACAUGGGCACAGGUGGCCAAGUGCUUACACACAAACAUGUGCACACCAGCGUAUGCCAUACCUACACAUAUAUGUAAGACAAACAAUACAUACACACAUAUAUACAUACACAAGAUUUUCCUGUGACCUGGGUGUAGAGAUGCAUUGUCUGUAAUCCCAAUAUUUUGAAGGUGGGAGCAAGAAUAUCAAAGUCAGGGUUACCCAAGGCUAUAUAAUGAGUUCAAAGUCAGCUUGGGUUACAUGAGACCUUACAAUCCUCCCCCCCAAAAUAAAUAAAAUUAUAUUAAAACACCAAAAAUAAAAUUUAACAUGCUAAUAUAACAUAAAUAUAAGGUAAUAUAAAAUUAAUAUCAUGUAAGUAUACAACUCAGCAUUAACUAUUGGAACAGCAUUACAUAGCCACUCUUUGGAAUUUACCUUGCAUAAUUAAGACUUCAUACCUAUUAAUCAGUAACUUCGUUUUCUUCACUUACACCCAGCCAUUGACAGCCACCAUUCCACUCCUUAGAUACCUCACCUCGUCUCAUUAGUCACUUGCUGAUUGCUGUGACACGCGACAAAGAAAACAUAAGGAAGUGUGUAUCCAGGCUUAUGGUUCCAGAAUACAGCCCAUCAUGGCAGAGAAGGAGUGGCUUGAGGGAACUCGUCACACAGUCAGGCAGCAGAGAGAAACGAAUGUUGGCCCUUGGUGCUGUUUGCCCUCUUUAUUCAGUUCAGGACCCAGCCCAUGAAAGUGCCACCCAAAUUCAUGGUGGGUCUUCACACUUCAAUAGCCAGAAUCUAGGUAAGACCUGCUGAUAUUUCUAGAGGCCAGAAAAGCAUGCCUUAAUUUCAAUCAAAGAUCAGCUGGUUGUCCCCAUAGCCUCCAUGUCACUAUGUCCCCUAGUAGGCUCAUCUUGCCUGGCACAUUGGGAUUAGCAUUCACUAUUUACGACUGGAUAGUAGCUUUGAUGACUACCCCUUCCCCCAGUCGUCUCCAUAGUCUCUUCCAACACUGUGAAAACUGACCAGCUGGGAGGAAGUUUGCAGGUCAGGUCCUGCUUGUUUGUCUGUGUCCUGCAUCUUCACACCCUCAUCUUCAACAAGGUGCAUUACAUCUUCAGCAGCAGGCUCUCACUGUAUAGAUCUGGUGCACAACCGCAAGCAACAGCGAUCAUCAACAGUCUGUGUUGUUUUGGGUGCAUCUGCUCCCUCCUCAACCAAUGGCUCAUAGAGGCGUCUCACAGCCUGGCACUGACAUCUUCAGUCGACAGCACGCGUCUUCUGAGAACUUUGUAGCAUUCAGGUUUCUACAUAAAGGCACCCAUUGCACAAUGAUCCUUCAAUGACGACCUGCACACACAGUGUGGCCUGGAUGUGGGCAAAUCUGUACCAUCCAGGUCUGUGUGGGCCCUCUGCUACAGCAGCACAGCAGAAGCUGAAGAUGGGAUCUCUCUGCUUCACUCCAGCCAUCUGCUGCCAUGCCUCCCCUGCCGCUGUGGACCCCACUCUGGAACCAUAAGCCAAAAUAAACUAUUUCUUCCAUA